CGAGCGGAACGAGUUAUCUGAACCUUCGGGGAACGAUAACGGCGUCGAGCGGCGGACGGGUGAGUAAUGCCUAGGAAAUUGCCCUGAUGUGGGGGAUAACCAUUGGAAACGAUGGCUAAUACCGCAUGAUGCCUACGGGCCAAAGAGGGGGACCUUCGGGCCUCUCGCGUCAGGAUAUGCCUAGGUGGGAUUAGCUAGUUGGUGAGGUAAGGGCUCACCAAGGCGACGAUCCCUAGCUGGUCUGAGAGGAUGAUCAGCCACACUGGAACUGAGACACGGUCCAGACUCCUACGGGAGGCAGCAGUGGGGAAUAUUGCACAAUGGGCGCAAGCCUGAUGCAGCCAUGCCGCGUGUGUGAAGAAGGCCUUCGGGUUGUAAAGCACUUUCAGUCGUGAGGAAGGUAGUGUAGUUAAUAGCUGCAUUAUUUGACGUUAGCGACAGAAGAAGCACCGGCUAACUCCGUGCCAGCAGCCGCGGUAAUACGGAGGGUGCGAGCGUUAAUCGGAAUUACUGGGCGUAAAGCGCAUGCAGGUGGUUUGUUAAGUCAGAUGUGAAAGCCCGGGGCUCAACCUCGGAAUAGCAUUUGAAACUGGCAGACUAGAGUACUGUAGAGGGGGGUAGAAUUUCAGGUGUAGCGGUGAAAUGCGUAGAGAUCUGAAGGAAUACCGGUGGCGAAGGCGGCCCCCUGGACAGAUACUGACACUCAGAUGCGAAAGCGUGGGGAGCAAACAGGAUUAGAUACCCUGGUAGUCCACGCCGUAAACGAUGUCUACUUGGAGGUUGUGGCCUUGAGCCGUGGCUUUCGGAGCUAACGCGUUAAGUAGACCGCCUGGGGAGUACGGUCGCAAGAUUAAAACUCAAAUGAAUUGACGGGGGCCCGCACAAGCGGUGGAGCAUGUGGUUUAAUUCGAUGCAACGCGGAAGAACCUUACCUACUC
Molecule: ribosomal RNA, 938 nt
Filed under: Vibrio alginolyticus
Lineage: Bacteria; Pseudomonadati; Pseudomonadota; Gammaproteobacteria; Vibrionales; Vibrionaceae
Description: bacterial SSU rRNA
Rfam family: Bacterial small subunit ribosomal RNA
Source: RNAcentral